CCGGGGACCGGCCUCCGCCGCGGGCUCUGCCCGCUCGCCUGCUCGCCUGGUGGGGGAGAGGGGAGCGGGGCCGACACAGGACUGCAGUUGACAGCAGAUAACUGAAAGCUCGGAAAGCGAAACCGUGGAUAAGCAGGGGAACUGUGGCAUCCCAUUUAAAAUUGCUUCUGAAGAGAAGCAUGAGGUUACAUCUGUAAUCUCCCUGCAGCAGAGUCAACUGCAUAAGAAACCAAAAGACACACCUGCUCCAUGCCAGCCUAAGCCACCACAUAAAAAGUCAGACCAUCUGCUGGAAGAACCACAUGGAGAGGCCCUGAGUCAACAUGGAGAGGAAGAAGGACUUGACUGAAUCCAGCCUUCCAGCUGUCCCUACCAAGGUGCCAGGCAUGAGAAUGAAGCUGUCUUGAACUCUGAAGACCAGCUUAGCCACCAGUUUCUGUGGGCCUCAAACAACACUUUCUGCAUUUUCCCCUCUCGCCCCCUACUCAUCACUCCCUGAAAGGGUCAUCAUGAAGAUAAAUGUACUACAUUUAUAAACAGUAAAGUACUACAAAGGACCAAGCAAAUACGAAUUAUUUUUUGCAGUGGAGAAACAAGCGCCCGGUGAGAAUAUAUGACCUAAGGUUCUGUAGUUUAUGACCUAACCAGGCCCAGAAUGAAGUUUUUCAUAUCCUAGUAGUGUGUUUUUUCUGUUUUGACAAAAAACAGCAUACCUCAGAGAAGGAAAAAAGUGUGAAUUGUGGGUAUAUUGGGGUUAUCAGUGUGCUUCUGAGGGAAGACAGGCAUCACUACUUCCCAGAGAUGCCCUGGAAAUGAUAUAGAAGAUGCUGAAGAAUUCAACGUGAUAACAGAAUGAGGCAUUUGUAGUAAUGCUGAGAACAGAAAAAUGGACUAAGUGGAAAAUUUGUUUGCAUGUCUUUGAAUGUAGAUUUGUUAUGUGAACAAACUACCUAGUUUAUUUUUAGUUCAAUACAAUAAUUGUUUUAAGAAAACAUGAAAUAACUACUCAAUAUAAAAUGCAUUUUAAAACUCCUAUUAAAAAAGAUCACAGGAAAAUUGCUUGAUUUCUCCAUCAGUUAAAUUUACCACCGUGCACACGUUAUGUGGUUAAAAAUCUGAUUGUUUUCCU
Molecule: long non-coding RNA, 1129 nt
Filed under: Homo sapiens (human)
Lineage: Eukaryota; Metazoa; Chordata; Mammalia; Primates; Hominidae
Description: HSALNT0311247
Source: RNAcentral